GACAGAGGUUGCAAACGUUGUUCGGAAUUACUGGGCGUAAAGCGCGUGUAGGCGGCUGCGUGUGUCGGGCGUGAAAUCCCAUGGCUCAACCAUGGAAGUGCACCCGAAACUGCGUAGCUAGAGUCCUGGAGAGGAAGGUGGAAUGCUUGGUGUAGAGGUGAAAUUCGUAGAUAUCAAGCGGAACACCGGUGGCGAAGGCGGCCUUCUGGACAGUGACUGACGCUGAGACGCGAAAGCGUGGGGAGCAAACAGG
RNAcentral lists this ribosomal RNA (253 nucleotides) under uncultured bacterium. RNAcentral's name for it is "partial 16S ribosomal RNA". It matches the Rfam family "Bacterial small subunit ribosomal RNA", at positions 524 to 776 of the family's 1533-position model. The record is from RNAcentral.